AAUGGACGAUCUGAAAUUAGGAUAUGAAGUGAACUCUACAAAAGUCACUUAAAUAAACUUAAUUGAAAGAUUCCCAACAGAAACGGAGACAGUAGAAAUGAAAAGCAGUGAAGGAUGCAUACAAUCCAGCUAAUGUUGUUUGAAUGUUGGAGCCUUUCAAAGACUUCCACACUUGUUUCUUCUCUUUGUAUAAUUGCAAUAAGGUAUGAACUGAGUUAUUGUGCAGCAUAGCAACACAGAAAGAUAUGUAGAGAAGGAGAAAGAGACAGAGAGAGAGAGAGAGAGAGACAGGGAGACAGACGGCGAAAUAAAAAAUGGGGUCGAGAGCAAGAGCAGCCGGAGCCUUACCAAACCUCAUCCGGACCCUCCGGAAAGAAGCCCACAACCCAACAGUCACUCCCGUCUCUCAGACGUGCCUUCUCUCGCUACGAUCAUAUCAAUCUCAUCGACAACGUCCCCGACAACCAGCUUCGCUUUAAGCGUUGCACAUAAUGGAUUCACAGUGAAUGGUGUGGAUUAUGAAGGAAGCUUGCUUUGUGUUGGCAAUAUGUUAAUGGCUUGGGCUCCUACCAAAUUCUCUGAUGUCACUCCUCAUAGCUUAUCAAUCUUCCAACUUGUGCAGCCUAUAACUGGUAAGUUUCAAACUUCGGUUUUAGGUUGGCCUUAGUCAAUUACUUUAGUUAGACACAUAGGUGGAAUUCAGAAGAACAAAUUUCCUUUCUUUAAGAAACACCAGGUCAAUAUGUGACCAGUUCCUUUGUACGAAACAUGGGCAGACAGCUUAGAAUACCUCGAACAUUCUAACACUAAUAAUCUAACAUUCUCAUGAUAACACCAAAAGCGAACCUAAAGGGUCUUGGAUCUUCGAGUAACUGAGCCGAAAACCUUUUUAUAACUAUAGGCUACAGCGAAUAGAGUUCUUCACAUAGCAUGUGACCAAGAAUAAGCACGUCAAUAUACAUCCUUUUAUUGUUAACUUGUAGCAUUGUGAUCAUGUUUCAUCCUUUGCAUCCAAAUCUGAAAUAGUGUUGACCUACUAGUACAUGUCAUUCUGAUGGGAAAUUAAAAUGUCAACUAAACUGAUAUGUACAACCUUGGCUUCAAUCAUGGGGUUCUUUUAAUUUGCUUUCCAAACAGAUUUUAUUUUCCUCAUCUCCCUUGAUUUGUAUGGCUUUUAAAAUGAUUCUAAUAAAAACAAUGUAGAAAAUUGUAAGAAAUUCUAGUGCAUAGAAAGAGAAAUGUAGACUGCCUCAAAAGUUGUUGGCUCUUACAGAUUUUGUUGAUUGCUGUGAUGAGUUUCGGGCAAUGAAAAUUCGAAGAUGAAAGGGUAUCACUUUUUCAUUAAUUUUUGGAUCUCUUUACAAAGUUGAAAAAUUGCAGAUGUAAUUCCUUUUUCCUUCAUGUAUGUUGGUAUCCGUUACAUCUUGUCAUGACACUGGAAACAAUAAGUCACUCUUUAUUUAUAAAAUAUUUCUUGUUA
Molecule: long non-coding RNA, 1480 nt
Organism: Pyrus x bretschneideri (Chinese white pear)
Lineage: Eukaryota; Viridiplantae; Streptophyta; Magnoliopsida; Rosales; Rosaceae
Exons: 3
Source: RefSeq, a predicted model, not a curated record